This 1378-nucleotide ribosomal RNA is filed under the name Latilactobacillus curvatus. RNAcentral's name for it is "bacterial SSU rRNA". It matches the Rfam family "Bacterial small subunit ribosomal RNA", at positions 39 to 1380 of the family's 1533-position model. Lineage: Bacteria; Bacillati; Bacillota; Bacilli; Lactobacillales; Lactobacillaceae. The record is from RNAcentral.
GCGGCGUGCCUAAUACAUGCAAGUCGAACGCACUCUCGUUAGAUUGAAGAAGCUUGCUUCUGAUUGAUAACAUUUGAGUGAGUGGCGGACGGGUGAGUAACACGUGGGUAACCUGCCCUAAAGUGGGGGAUAACAUUUGGAAACAGAUGCUAAUACCGCAUAAAACCUAGCACCGCAUGGUGCAAGGUUGAAAGAUGGUUUCGGCUAUCACUUUAGGAUGGACCCGCGGUGCAUUAGUUAGUUGGUGAGGUAAAGGCUCACCAAGACCGUGAUGCAUAGCCGACCUGAGAGGGUAAUCGGCCACACUGGGACUGAGACACGGCCCAGACUCCUACGGGAGGCAGCAGUAGGGAAUCUUCCACAAUGGACGAAAGUCUGAUGGAGCAACGCCGCGUGAGUGAAGAAGGUUUUCGGAUCGUAAAACUCUGUUGUUGGAGAAGAACGUAUUUGAUAGUAACUGAUCAGGUAGUGACGGUAUCCAACCAGAAAGCCACGGCUAACUACGUGCCAGCAGCCGCGGUAAUACGUAGGUGGCAAGCGUUGUCCGGAUUUAUUGGGCGUAAAGCGAGCGCAGGCGGUUUCUUAAGUCUGAUGUGAAAGCCUUCGGCUCAACCGAAGAAGUGCAUCGGAAACUGGGAAACUUGAGUGCAGAAGAGGACAGUGGAACUCCAUGUGUAGCGGUGAAAUGCGUAGAUAUAUGGAAGAACACCAGUGGCGAAGGCGGCUGUCUGGUCUGUAACUGACGCUGAGGCUCGAAAGCAUGGGUAGCAAACAGGAUUAGAUACCCUGUAGUCCAUGCCGUAAACGAUGAGUGCUAGGUGUUGGAGGGUUUCCGCCCUUCAGUGCCGCAGCUAACGCAUUAAGCACUCCGCCUGGGGAGUACGACCGCAAGGUUGAAACUCAAAGGAAUUGACGGGGGCCCGCACAAGCGGUGGAGCAUGUGGUUUAAUUCGAAGCAACGCGAAGAACCUUACCAGGUCUUGACAUCCUUUGACCACUCUAGAGAUAGAGCUUUCCCUUCGGGGACAAAGUGACAGGUGGUGCAUGGUUGUCGUCAGCUCGUGUCGUGAGAUGUUGGGUUAAGUCCCGCAACGAGCGCAACCCUUAUUACUAGUUGCCAGCAUUUAGUUGGGCACUCUAGUGAGACUGCCGGUGACAAACCGGAGGAAGGUGGGGACGACGUCAAAUCAUCAUGCCCCUUAUGACCUGGGCUACACACGUGCUACAAUGGAUGGUACAACGAGUCGCGAGACCGCGAGGUUUAGCUAAUCUCUUAAAACCAUUCUCAGUUCGGAUUGUAGGCUGCAACUCGCCUACAUGAAGCCGGAAUCGCUAGUAAUCGCGGAUCAGCAUGCCGCGGUGAAUACGUUCCCGGGUC